Long non-coding RNA from Dendronephthya gigantea, 318 nucleotides. RefSeq lists it as uncharacterized. The record is from RefSeq and is a predicted model, not a curated record. Lineage: Eukaryota; Metazoa; Cnidaria; Anthozoa; Malacalcyonacea; Nephtheidae. The transcript is spliced from 3 exons.
UUGUAUCAAAGUAAGGCAACUUCAUUCACUUUUGAUCAGUUAAACAUCUGCCAUCACUUAGAAUCGAACAAUUAUGAACAUCAGUUGAAAUAAGUAUAGGGAACUAAAAAUUCGCUCGAACAUGAUUUAAAAGUGAAGAAUAUAUCUUAAAGUUCCGAAGUAGCAGAACCAGAAUGUCCGGAUUGCCAUGGGAAAGCGAGGAAAGUCAAAACUACAUUCGAGCGGAAUACAUUGUCACUGAUGCUGUAAGGAAGGAGUUGAGGGAUUUCUUUAUUCAGGAAUGGAACAAACGUUACCAGGCUUCUUUCGGAGCGUGGG